This 429-nucleotide ribosomal RNA is filed under the name bacterium. RNAcentral's name for it is "partial 16S ribosomal RNA". It matches the Rfam family "Bacterial small subunit ribosomal RNA", at positions 355 to 776 of the family's 1533-position model. The record is from RNAcentral.
UAGGGAAUCUUCGGCAAUGGGGGCAACCCUGACCGAGCAACGCCGCGUGAGUGAAGAAGGUUUUCGGAUCGUAAAGCUCUGUUGUAAGAGAAGAACGUGUGUGAGAGUGGAAAGUUCACACAGUGACGGUAACUUACCAGAAAGGGACGGCUAACUACGUGCCAGCAGCCGCGGUAAUACGUAGGUCCCGAGCGUUGUCCGGAUUUAUUGGGCGUAAAGCGAGCGCAGGCGGUUUAAUAAGUCUGAAGUUAAAGGCAGUGGCUUAACCAUUGUUCGCUUUGGAAACUGUUAAACUUGAGUGCAGAAGGGGAGAGUGGAAUUCCAUGUGUAGCGGUGAAAUGCGUAGAUAUAUGGAGGAACACCGGUGUCGAAAGCGGCUCUCUGGUCUGUAACUGACGCUGAGGCUCGAAAGCGUGGGGAGCAAACAGG